RNAcentral lists this ribosomal RNA (253 nucleotides) under uncultured bacterium. RNAcentral describes it as "partial 16S ribosomal RNA". It matches the Rfam family "Bacterial small subunit ribosomal RNA", at positions 526 to 779 of the family's 1533-position model. The record is from RNAcentral.
CGUAUGGAGCAAGCGUUAUCCGGAUUUACUGGGUGUAAAGGGUGCGUAGGUGGCAGUGCAAGUCAGAUGUGAAAGGCCGGGGCUCAACCCCGGAGCUGCAUUUGAAACUGCUCGGCUAGAGUACAGGAGAGGCAGGCGGAAUUCCUAGUGUAGCGGUGAAAUGCGUAGAUAUUAGGAGGAACACCAGUGGCGAAGGCGGCCUGCUGGACUGUUACUGACACUGAGGCACGAAAGCGUGGGAGCAAACAGGAUU